This 1159-nucleotide long non-coding RNA is filed under the name Salmo salar (Atlantic salmon). RNAcentral's name for it is "lncRNA (ENSSSAG00000082194.1, ENSSSAG00075063550.1)". The record is from RNAcentral. Lineage: Eukaryota; Metazoa; Chordata; Actinopteri; Salmoniformes; Salmonidae.
GGCAGCUUUAUAGUUGCAUAUUAUUGGUUAGUUAGCUAGCUGACAGGCAGCUGCAUACUAUACUGGUUUCCACUAGAUAGCACAAACAGUCAAAAUUGGCUAUAAGAAUUCAUGAAAACUUAAAAUGAAUUUAAGGUUAGGCAUAAGGUUAGGUUUAAAAUAACAUUUUAAUAAGAACAUUUGAAGAAAUAGGCAGGGUUUACAGCUGUGGUAACUAGUGACGACCCUGCAUACUAGCUAGUUAGCCUUACGUUAGCUGGGUUAAUGUUGAUUGCUCAUGCGUUUGUUACCAUCAUCUUUGUCAUUAUUCUCAAUGUUUCAUAAUCAAUGUGGUUCGACUGCUAAUCGAAACAUAUACGUCAGUGGUACACACCGGCUGUUAUUAUUGUAGCUAUCUAAAUUGGCUACACAGUACGUAUAGCUAGGUCGUUGUUUGUACAUUCAACUACGUACGAUACGUCGUAACACGGAACAAAGUAAAGAUUGCGCCAGAAGGGGUCUGUUUUUUCAACUUUUCUCAAAUACUAUUUGUCCAUUGUCUUGUCAAUCAAAGUUUGACACUAACAGAUUAGUUGUAGGCCCAUUCGUUUUCAUUGCAGCCCUGUUUGAACACAUAGUUACGCUAAUGCCGUAUUCACGAUACUCAGUGAGUCAACUCGCAUCCAGCUCCAGUAGCUGCAUAGAAAGAACCUGCCUCUCCUACACAAGUGAAUCAACGAGGAUGAACAAGCAGCACUUUAGAGAUGUUCGAUCAGGUUGAAGUUCAGGCUCUGGCUGGGCCACUGCAUUGUCCAAUGGGCUCCCGAGUGGCACAGAGGUUUAAGGCACUGCAUCUCAGUGCUAGAGGUGUCACUACAGACACCCUGGUUCAAAUCCAGUCUGUAUCACAACCGGUCGUGAUUGGGAGUCCCAUAGUGUGGCGCACAUUUGACCCAGCAUUGUACGGGUUUUGCCGGUGUAGGCCGUCAUUGUAAAUAAGAAUUUGUUCUUAACUGACUUGCCUAGUUAAAUAAAGUUUGAAUAAAAAAUAUAUAAACAAAUUGACUUGGCUGUGUGCUUACGGUCAUUGUCCUGUUGGAAGGUGAACCUCAAAUCAAAUUGGUCACAUACACAUGGUUAGCAGAUGUUAUUGCGAGUGUAGCGAAAUGCUUGUGCUUCU